Myotis brandtii (Brandt's bat) is the source of this 109-nucleotide long non-coding RNA. RefSeq lists it as uncharacterized. The record is from RefSeq and is a predicted model, not a curated record. Lineage: Eukaryota; Metazoa; Chordata; Mammalia; Chiroptera; Vespertilionidae. The transcript is spliced from 3 exons.
GGUUUGAUUCUUGAAUGAGAAAACACUUACUUUAAUUCUCUGUCCCUCCUGUCUUGCUUUGCUAUUUAACUGCUUCAUCUUGUGUUUUGUACCUGAGAUCAAGAGGCAU